RNAcentral lists this long non-coding RNA (206 nucleotides) under Panax ginseng (ginseng). RNAcentral's name for it is "long non-coding RNA (PGIN_LNC013951)". Lineage: Eukaryota; Viridiplantae; Streptophyta; Magnoliopsida; Apiales; Araliaceae. The record is from RNAcentral.
AAUUUGAAACCCUAAUACUUGAUCUGAAAACCCUAGUUUCAGAUUCUGAUAAAUUGAAGCCCUAAUCUGGGAAAUUAAUGGAGAAUUAUAAUGCUCUACUGCUAUUAUUAUAAUAUUAAUUAGGGUAACGCUUAAUUAAUUAGCAAACCCUAAUUUCAAAUUAUCGAACUUAAACUUUUCUGUCAGGAACCCUAAUGACGGAUUUG